This 400-nucleotide ribosomal RNA is filed under the name uncultured Glomeromycotina. RNAcentral's name for it is "SSU rRNA". It matches the Rfam family "Eukaryotic small subunit ribosomal RNA", at positions 569 to 971 of the family's 1831-position model. Lineage: Eukaryota; Fungi; Glomeromycota. The record is from RNAcentral.
AGCAGCCGCGGUAAUUCCAGCUCCAAUAGCGUAUAUUAAAGUUGUUGCAGUUAAAAAGCUCGUAGUUGAAUUUCGGAGUUUGUCGGUUGGUCGGGCUUCAUUGUCCGCACUGACCUGAUGGAUUCCUACCUUCUGAAUAACCAGCAUGCUAUUAAGUUAGUGCGUUGGGGAAGCAGAGCUAUUACCUUGAAAAAAUUAGAGUGCUUAAAGCAGGCUUGUGCUUGAAUAGAUUAGCAUGGAAUAAUAAAAUAGGACGGCAUGGUUCUAUUUUGUUGGUUUCUAGGAUCACCGUAAUGAUUAAUAGGGAUAGUUGGGGGCAUUAGUAUUCAAUUGUCAGAGGUGAAAUUCUUGGAUUUAUUGAAGACUAACUUCUGCGAAAGCAUUUGCCAAGGAUGUUUUC